GUACGCUGGCGGCACGCCUAACACAUGCAAGUCGAACGAAGUAGCAAUACUUAGUGGCAGACGGGUGAGUAACAUGUAGGUAUCUUCCCUUUGGCCUGGAAUAACACGAGGAAACUUGUGCUAAUACCGGAUAAGUCUUUACGGAGAAAGCUUUAUGCACCAUUGGAUGAGCCUGCACUUGAUUAGUUUGUUGGUGGGGUAAUGGCCUACCAAGACUUUGAUCAAUAGCUGAUUUGAGAGGAUGAUCAGCCACAUUGGGACUGAGACACGGCCCAAACUCCUACGGGAGGCAGCAGUGGGGAAUCUUGCACAAUGGAGGAAACUCUGAUGCAGCGAUGCCGCGUGAGUGAAGAAGGCCUUUGGGUUGUAAAGCUCUUUCGUCGGGGAAGAAAAUGACUGUACCCGAAUAAGAAGGUCCGGC
This 421-nucleotide ribosomal RNA is filed under the name uncultured bacterium. RNAcentral describes it as "bacterial SSU rRNA". It matches the Rfam family "Bacterial small subunit ribosomal RNA", at positions 31 to 497 of the family's 1533-position model. The record is from RNAcentral.